Molecule: long non-coding RNA, 430 nt
Filed under: Theropithecus gelada (gelada)
Lineage: Eukaryota; Metazoa; Chordata; Mammalia; Primates; Cercopithecidae
Description: lncRNA (ENSTGEG00000014180.1)
Source: RNAcentral
GGACGAAGGAAAAAUGCCAGGAGAGGGAGAAGAAAGAAAUCUUCCUUUUGCAAAAGGAGGCAUAAUAUGGCUUAGAGGUUGCCAAAGCAAAAGAACAGUCCCUUUCUCUGCCCUGGGGGAGCCGGGAAGAUGUGCAGCCCCAGCCCUCGUUCUCAGCGGAGCCUCGCGCGCGCAGAGCCUAGCGCGAUUCGCGCCCUCAUUACCACUACAAAGCGCGGGCCAGACCAAUCCCCUUUCUAAUGCACCAUUUUCGACUGAGAACAUCAAGAGGCCAGAAACUUCCAAGUCAGCUUGCAGACGCAGACGCCUCCUGGGUCCUGGCUUUAAGAACCAGAUGCCAACAUUCCCGGACAGUUUAUGGCAUCCGGAUCCCUCAAGGGUGCUCAUCUGCAGUUGAGAGUCUAAUAAACGGCAUUAACAAAGCGUUUCA